Molecule: ribosomal RNA, 231 nt
Filed under: uncultured bacterium
Lineage: Bacteria
Description: partial 16S ribosomal RNA
Rfam family: Bacterial small subunit ribosomal RNA
Source: RNAcentral
AACCUGCCUCAGAGAGGGGAUAACACACCGAAAGGUGUGCUAAUACCGCAUGAUACAGCUGGGAGGCAUCUCCCUGGCUGUCAAAGAUUUAUCGCUCUGAGAUGAGCUCGCGUCUGAUUAGCUAGUUGGCGGGGUAACGGCCCACCAAGGCGACGAUCAGUAGCCGGACUGAGAGGUUGGCCGGCCACAUUGGGACUGAGACACGGCCCAGACUCCUACGGAAGGCAGCAG